UCCCACUCAGGAUCACAUCUGGAGAGUUUCCAGUCCUCUACCAGACUUGGCUAUGGGAGGGAGAGUCAAGCAGAGGCCUACCCAUUCCAUUCCUAGCUUGGCUGGUGGCUAGCAAGUGGCAGGCCAUCUACUACAAGU
This is a small nucleolar RNA of Tachyglossus aculeatus (Australian echidna), 138 nucleotides long. NCBI's taxonomy places the organism in Eukaryota, Metazoa, Chordata, Mammalia, Monotremata, Tachyglossidae. The record is from RefSeq and is a predicted model, not a curated record.